This 325-nucleotide ribosomal RNA is filed under the name uncultured eukaryote. RNAcentral describes it as "partial 18S ribosomal RNA". It matches the Rfam family "Eukaryotic small subunit ribosomal RNA", at positions 1470 to 1796 of the family's 1831-position model. The record is from RNAcentral.
CCCUUAGAUGUUCUGGGCCGCACGCGCGCUACACUGAUGCAUUCAACGAGCCUAUCCUUGACCGACAGGUCCGGGUAAUCUUUGAAUCUGCAUCGCGACGGGGAUAGAUUAUUGCAAUUAUUAAUCUUCAACGAGGAAUGCCUAGUAGGCGCAAGUCAUCAGCUUGCGUCGAUUACGUCCCUGCCCUUUGUACACACCGCCCGUCGCUCCUACCGAUUGGGUGUGCUGGUGAAAUGUUCGGAUCGGCCGUUUGUCGCGGUUUCCGCGGCUCGUGGCUGAGAAGUUCAUUAAACCCUCCCACCUAGAGGAAGGAGAAGUCGUAACA